Molecule: transfer RNA, 74 nt
Organism: Astyanax mexicanus (Mexican tetra)
Lineage: Eukaryota; Metazoa; Chordata; Actinopteri; Characiformes; Acestrorhamphidae
Rfam family: tRNA
About the family: Transfer RNA (tRNA) molecules are approximately 80 nucleotides in length. Their secondary structure includes four short double-helical elements and three loops (D, anti-codon, and T loops). Further hydrogen bonds mediate the characteristic L-shaped molecular structure. tRNAs have two regions of fundamental functional importance: the anti-codon, which is responsible for specific mRNA codon recognition, and the 3' end, to which the tRNAs corresponding amino acid is attached (by aminoacyl-tRNA synthetases). tRNAs cope with the degeneracy of the genetic code in two manners: having more than one tRNA (with a specific anti-codon) for a particular amino acid; and 'wobble' base-pairing, i.e. permitting non-standard base-pairing at the 3rd anti-codon position.
Source: Rfam
GGCACUGUGGCUUAGUUGGUUAAAGUGCCUGUCUAGUAAACAAGAGAUCCUGGGUUUGAAUCCCAGUGGUGCCU